GACGAACGCUGGCGGCGUGCCUAAUACAUGCCAGUUGAGCGCUGAAGGUUGGUACUUGUACCAACUGGAUGAGCAGCGAACGGGUGAGUAACGCGUGGGGAAUCUGCCUUUGAGCGGGGGACAACAUUUGGAAACGAAUGCUAAUACCGCAUAAAAACUUUAAACACAAGUUUUAAGUUUGAAAGAUGCAAUUGCAUCACUCAAAGAUGAUCCCGCGUUGUAUUAGCUAGUUGGUGAGGUAAAGGCUCACCAAGGCGAUGAUACAUAGCCGACCUGAGAGGGUGAUCGGCCACAUUGGGACUGAGACACGGCCCAAACUCCUACGGGAGGCGGCAGUAGGGAAUCUUCGGCAAUGGACGAAAGUCUGACCGAGCAACGCCGCGUGAGUGAAGAAGGGUUUCGGAUCGUAAAACUCUGUUGGUAGAGAAGAACGUUGGUGAGAGUGGAAAGCUCAUCAAGUGACGGUAACUACCCAGAAAGGGACGGCUAACUACGUG
Molecule: ribosomal RNA, 497 nt
Filed under: uncultured bacterium
Lineage: Bacteria
Description: partial 16S ribosomal RNA
Rfam family: Bacterial small subunit ribosomal RNA
Source: RNAcentral